GUUGCCAGCGGUCCGGCCGGGAACUCAAAGGAGACUGCCAGUGAUAAACUGGAGGAAGGUGGGGAUGACGUCAAGUCAUCAUGGCCCUUACGACCAGGGCUACACACGUGCUACAAUGGCGCAUACAAAGAGAAGCGACCUCGCGAGAGCAAGCGGACCUCAUAAAGUGCGUCGUAGUCCGGAUUGGAGUCUGCAACUCGACUCCAUGAAGUCGGAAUCGCUAGUAAUCGUGGAUCAGAAUGCCACGGUGAAUACGUUCCCGGGCCUUGUACACACCGCCCGUCACACCAUGGGAGUGGGUUGCAAAA
This 308-nucleotide ribosomal RNA is filed under the name Escherichia coli. RNAcentral's name for it is "bacterial SSU rRNA". It matches the Rfam family "Bacterial small subunit ribosomal RNA", at positions 1114 to 1422 of the family's 1533-position model. Lineage: Bacteria; Pseudomonadati; Pseudomonadota; Gammaproteobacteria; Enterobacterales; Enterobacteriaceae. The record is from RNAcentral.